This 434-nucleotide ribosomal RNA is filed under the name uncultured Lachnospiraceae bacterium. Its description in RNAcentral is "bacterial SSU rRNA". It matches the Rfam family "Bacterial small subunit ribosomal RNA", at positions 341 to 792 of the family's 1533-position model. The record is from RNAcentral. Lineage: Bacteria; Bacillati; Bacillota; Clostridia; Lachnospirales; Lachnospiraceae.
ACGGGAGGCAGCAGUGGGGAAUAUUGCACAAUGGGGGAAACCCUGAUGCAGCGACGCCGCGUGAGUGAAGAAGUAAUUCGUUAUGUAAAGCUCUAUCAGCAGGGAAGAAAGUGACGGUACCUGAGUAAGAAGCCCCGGCUAACUACGUGCCAGCAGCCGCGGUAAUACGUAGGGGGCAAGCGUUAUCCGGAUUUACUGGGUGUAAAGGGAGUGUAGACGGCGAUGCAAGUCUGAAGUGAAAGCCCGGUGCUCAACAUCGGGACUGCUUUGGAAACUGUAUAGCUGGAGUGCCGGAGAGGUAAGCGGAAUUCCUAGUGUAGCGGUGAAAUGCGUAGAUAUUAGGAAGAACACCAGUGGCGAAGGCGGCUUACUGGACGGUAACUGACGUUGAGGCUCGAAAGCGUGGGGAGCAAACAGGAUUAGAUACCCUGGUA